GCUUAGUAGCUUAGUUGGUAUUGCGUCUGCCUUGUAAGCGCUAGGCCGCGGGUUCGAUUCCCGCCCUGGGCG
This 72-nucleotide transfer RNA is filed under the name Diaphorina citri (Asian citrus psyllid). It matches the Rfam family "tRNA". Rfam says of the family: Transfer RNA (tRNA) molecules are approximately 80 nucleotides in length. Their secondary structure includes four short double-helical elements and three loops (D, anti-codon, and T loops). The record is from Rfam by way of RNAcentral. Lineage: Eukaryota; Metazoa; Arthropoda; Insecta; Hemiptera; Psyllidae.